This 72-nucleotide transfer RNA is filed under the name Sphaerodactylus townsendi. RNAcentral's name for it is "tRNA-Thr". It matches the Rfam family "tRNA". From Rfam's summary of the family: Transfer RNA (tRNA) molecules are approximately 80 nucleotides in length. Lineage: Eukaryota; Metazoa; Chordata; Lepidosauria; Squamata; Sphaerodactylidae. The record is from RNAcentral.
GGAAGUGUGGCUCAGUGAUAAAGAAUCUGUUUGGUACGCAGAAGGUCCCAGGUUCAAUUCUCCGCAUCUCCA